Molecule: transfer RNA, 73 nt
Filed under: Sphaeropleales sp. YC001
Lineage: Eukaryota; Viridiplantae; Chlorophyta; Chlorophyceae; Sphaeropleales
Description: tRNA-Asn
Rfam family: tRNA
About the family: Transfer RNA (tRNA) molecules are approximately 80 nucleotides in length. Their secondary structure includes four short double-helical elements and three loops (D, anti-codon, and T loops).
Source: RNAcentral
UCCUCUCUAGCUCAGGGGUUAGAGCGUUUGGCUGUUAACCAAAAAGUCGCAGGUUCGAUUCCUGCGAGAGGAG